UAGCCGUAAACGAUACUCGCUAGGUGUCGGCCACGGUGCGACCGUUGUCGGUGCCGUAGGGAAGCCGUGAAGCGAGCCACCUGGGAAGUACGGCCGCAAGGCUGAAACUUAAAGGAAUUGGCGGGGGAGCACAACAACGGGUGGAGCUUGCGGUUUAAUUGGAUUUCAACGCCGGAAAUCUUACCGGGACCGACAGCAACAUGAAGGCCAAGCUGAAGACUUUGCCGGAUUAGCUGAGAGGUGGUGCAUGGCGUAGUCGUGU
Molecule: ribosomal RNA, 262 nt
Filed under: uncultured archaeon
Lineage: Archaea
Description: partial 16S ribosomal RNA
Rfam family: Archaeal small subunit ribosomal RNA
Source: RNAcentral